UACGAAGGGGGCUAGCGUUGCUCGGAAUCACUGGGCGUAAAGGGUGCGUAGGCGGGUCUUUAAGUCAGAGGUGAAAUCCCGGAGCUCAACUCCAGAACUGCCUUUGAUACUGAAGAUCUUGAGUUCGGGAGAGGUGAGUGGAACUGCGAGUGUAGAGGUGAAAUUCGUAGAUAUUCGCAAGAACACCAGUGGCGAAGGCGGCUCACUGGCCCGAUACUGACGCUGAGGCACGAAAGCGUGGGGAGCAAACAGG
RNAcentral lists this ribosomal RNA (253 nucleotides) under uncultured bacterium. RNAcentral's name for it is "partial 16S ribosomal RNA". It matches the Rfam family "Bacterial small subunit ribosomal RNA", at positions 524 to 776 of the family's 1533-position model. The record is from RNAcentral.